GACGAACGCUGGCGGCGUGCUUAACACAUGCAAGUCGAACGGUGAAGCGCUUGCCUUUUUGGUGGGUGUGGAUGAGUGGCGAACGGGUGAGUAACACGUGAGUAACCUGCCCUCUUCUUCUGGAUAACCUCAUGAAAGUGGGGCUAAUACGGGGUAUUCCGGGUCUGUCGCAUGGCGGGUUUGGGAAAGAUUGCGCCUUUGGGUGUUAUCGGUGGGGGAUGGGCUCGCGGCCUAUCAGCUUGUUGGUGGGGUGAUGGCCUACCAAGGCGGUGACGGGUAGCCGGCCUGAGAGGGUGGACGGCCACACUGGGACUGAGACACGGCCCAGACUCCUGCGGGAGGCAGCAGUGGGGAAUAUUGCACAAUGGGCGCAAGCCUGAUGCAGCGACGCCGCGUGAGGGAUGGAGGCCUUCGGGUUGUGAACCUCUUUCGCCAGUGAAGCAGGCCUGCUCCUGUGUGGGUGGGUUGACGGUAGCUGGAUAAGAAGCGCCGGCUAACUACGUG
This 504-nucleotide ribosomal RNA is filed under the name uncultured bacterium. Its description in RNAcentral is "partial 16S ribosomal RNA". It matches the Rfam family "Bacterial small subunit ribosomal RNA", at positions 28 to 507 of the family's 1533-position model. The record is from RNAcentral.